UUUUUACUUGCAGACCUUGUUUGGAGAGUUUGCAGGGCUUCACAGUAGUUGUGGAAGAAAGAGCACUGAUUCGGAGUCGCACGUAAACCUGCUGAACAACCCACUGGACCUUGUGGACAGUCAGACCAUCUGCAUUAGAAGGAUAGAGACACAUUUCCUGCCAGGAUGGGUGCAUCCCUGUCUUUAAGGAGCGGUUUUCAUCCCCAGCUAAAGAAAAAAUCCAGACACACAGAAACCGUGGAUCCUGGCGAAGGUGUACAUGAGGAGACAAUUCCAGAAUAUAGCCCAGGCACAU
This is a long non-coding RNA of Scleropages formosus (Asian bonytongue), 295 nucleotides long. RefSeq lists it as uncharacterized. The record is from RefSeq and is a predicted model, not a curated record. The transcript has 4 exons. Lineage: Eukaryota; Metazoa; Chordata; Actinopteri; Osteoglossiformes; Osteoglossidae.